RNAcentral lists this ribosomal RNA (403 nucleotides) under uncultured Fimbriimonas sp. RNAcentral's name for it is "bacterial SSU rRNA". It matches the Rfam family "Bacterial small subunit ribosomal RNA", at positions 355 to 774 of the family's 1533-position model. Lineage: Bacteria; Bacillati; Armatimonadota; Fimbriimonadia; Fimbriimonadales; Fimbriimonadaceae. The record is from RNAcentral.
UUGGGAAUCUUGCACAAUGGGGGAAACCCUGAUGCAGCGACGCCGCGUGGAGGAUGAAGGGUCUAGGCCUGUAAACUCCUUUUCUCGGGAAAGACUUAGGACGGUACCCGAGGAAUAAGGACCGGCUAACUACGUGCCAGCAGCCGCGGUAAGACGUAGGGUCCAAGCGUUGUCCGGAUUUACUGGGCGUAAAGAGCGCGUAGGCGGCUCGUUAAGUGUAGAGUGAAAUCUCUGGGCUCACCCCAGAAACUGCUCUGCAUACUGGCGAGCUGGAGGGAUGAAGAGGCUUGUGGAAUUCCUGGUGUAGCGGUGAAAUGCGUUGAUAUCAGGAGGAACACCCAUGGCGAAGGCAGCAAGCUGGUCAUCACCUGACGCUGAGGCGCGAAAGCGUGGGUAGCAAACA